This 243-nucleotide ribosomal RNA is filed under the name uncultured fungus. RNAcentral's name for it is "partial small subunit ribosomal RNA". The stretch from base 115 to 243 matches the Rfam family "Eukaryotic small subunit ribosomal RNA", at positions 741 to 867 of the family's 1831-position model. Lineage: Eukaryota; Fungi. The record is from RNAcentral.
GGUUCGGUGUAGCCGGCCCGCCACGGUUGCCGUGUGUGAGUGCCGGACUGCUUGCCGAGCCAUCCUUCUAGUCCUGCCUGGUGCGCGCUGCUUCACUGCAGCCGCGCCAGUCGCAGCUAGAUCGUUUACUUUGAAAAAAUUAGAGUGUUUAAAGCAGGCUCCUGUCAGCUAUGAAUACAUUAGCAUGGAAUAAUAAGUUAGGACUUUGGUUCAAUUUUGUUGGUUUGUUUGCGGACCGAAGUA